GAUCCUGCCAGUAGUCAUAUGCUUGUCUCAAAGAUUAAGCCAUGCAUGUCUAAGUACAGGCCGAUUUAAGGCGAAACCGCGAAUGGCUCAUUAAAUCAGUUAUGGUUCAUUGGAUCUUACCUUUUCCUACUUGGAUAACUGUGGUAAUUCUAGAGCUAAUACAUGCGCGAAAGCCCCGACCGGCGACGGGAAGGGCGCUUUUAUUAGAUCAAAACCAAUCGGACUCUCGGGUCCGUCCUCACGUGGUGACUCUGAAUAACUUUUUGCCGAGCGCACGGUCUCCGCACCGGCGCCGCAUCCUUCAAGUGUCUGCCUUAUCAGCUUUCGAUUGUAGGUUAUGCGCCUACAAUGGCUAUAACGGGUAACGGGGAAUCAGGGUUCGAUUCCGGAGAGGGAGCCUGAGAAACGGCUACCACAUCUAAGGAAGGCAGCAGGCACGCAAAUUACCCACUCCCGGCACGGGGAGGUAGUGACGAAAAAUAACGAUGCGGGACUCAUCCGAGGCCUCGCAAUCGGAAUGAGUACACUUUAAAUCCUUUAACGAGGAUCUAUUGGAGGGCAAGUCUGGUGCCAGCAGCCGCGGUAAUUCCAGCUCCAAUAGCGUAUAUUAAAGUUGCUGCAGUUAAAAAGCUCGUAGUUGGAUUCUAGUCACGGAGCGACGGUUCACCGCCCGGUGGUUACUGUCCGCUUGUCCGGACGUGUGUGUCGGCGUGGCACGGGGUGCUCUUCACCGAGUGUCCCGCGCCGCCGGCGAGUUUACUUUGAAAAAAUUAGAGUGUUCAAAGCAGGCCCGAGCACGCCUGGAUACCGCAGCUAGGAAUAAUGGAAUAGGACCGCGGUUCUAUUUUCCGUUGGUUUUCGGAACUGAGGCCAUGAUUAAGAGGGAACGGCCGGGGGCAUUCGUAUUGCGACGCUAGAGGUGAAAUUCUUGUAUCGUCGCAAGACGAACUACUGCGAAAGCAUUUUGCCAAGAAUGUUUUCAUUAAUCAAGAACGAAAGUUAGAGGUUCGAAGGCGAUCAGAUACCGCCCUAGUUCUAACCAUAAACGAUGCCAACUAGCGAUCCGCCGGCGUUAUUACAAUGACUCGGCGGGCAGCUUCCGGGAAACCAAAGUUUUUGGGUUCCGGGGGAAGUAUGGUUGCAAAGCUGAAACUUAAAGGAAUUGACGGAAGGGCACCACCAGGAGUGGAGCCUGCGGCUUAAUUUGACUCAACACGGGGAACCUCACCAGGCCCGGACACCGAAAGGAUUGACAGAUUGAGAGCUCUUUCUCGAUUCGGUGGGUGGUGGUGCAUGGCCGUUCUUAGUUGGUGGAGCGAUUUGUCUGGUUAAUUCCGAUAACGAACGAGACUCAAA
This 1356-nucleotide ribosomal RNA is filed under the name Hobbsinella sp. MNCN ADN 54883. RNAcentral describes it as "SSU rRNA". It matches the Rfam family "Eukaryotic small subunit ribosomal RNA", at positions 10 to 1346 of the family's 1831-position model. The record is from RNAcentral. Lineage: Eukaryota; Metazoa; Arthropoda; Malacostraca; Bathynellacea; Bathynellidae.